Molecule: ribosomal RNA, 253 nt
Filed under: uncultured bacterium
Lineage: Bacteria
Description: partial 16S ribosomal RNA
Rfam family: Bacterial small subunit ribosomal RNA
Source: RNAcentral
UACAGAGGUGGCUAGCGUUGUUCGGAAUUACUGGGCGUAAAGGGCGCGUAGGCGGCUUGGUCAGUCCCGUGUGAAACCCCUCGGCUCAACUGAGGAACUGCACGGGAAACUGCCUGGCUUGAGUUCGGGAGAGGGAAGCGGAAUUCCGGGUGUAGCGGUGAAAUGCGUAGAUAUCCGGAGGAACACCGAUGGCGAAGGCAGCCUCCUGGGCCAGCACUGACGCUCAUGCACGAAAGCGUGGGGAGCAAACAGG